Molecule: ribosomal RNA, 119 nt
Filed under: Pteropus alecto (black flying fox)
Lineage: Eukaryota; Metazoa; Chordata; Mammalia; Chiroptera; Pteropodidae
Source: RNAcentral
GUCUACGGCCAUACCACCCUGAACACUCCCGAUUCCCUCUGAUCUCGGAAGCUAAACAGGGUCAGGCCUGGUUAGUACUUGGAUGGGAGACCAUCUAGGAAGACCAGGUGCUGUAGGUG